This 46-nucleotide non-coding RNA is filed under the name Schistosoma margrebowiei. The record is from RNAcentral. Lineage: Eukaryota; Metazoa; Platyhelminthes; Trematoda; Strigeidida; Schistosomatidae.
GCACUGCUGAAGAGUCCCACAAUAGAAAGAAAUGGCCGUCCAGUGC